AACGAACGCUGGCGGCAGGCCUAACACAUGCAAGUCGAACGCACCUUCGGGUGAGUGGCAGACGGGUGAGUAACGCGUGGGAACCUGCCCUAUGGUACGGAAUAACUCUGGGAAACCGGAGCUAAUACCGUAUAAGCCCUACGGGGGAAAGAUUUUUCGCCAUAGGAUGGGCCCGCGUCAGAUUAGCUAGUUGGUAGGGUAACGGCCUACCAAGGCUACGAUCUGUAGCUGGUCUGAGAGGAUGAUCAGCCACACUGGGACUGAGACACGGCCCAGACUCCUACGGGAGGCAGCAGUGGGGAAUCUUGGACAAUGGGCGAAAGCCUGAUCCAGCCAUGCCCGCGUGAGUGAAGAAGGCCCUAGGGUUGUAAAGCUCUUUCAGCGGGGAAGAUAAUGACGGUACCCGCAGAAGAAGCCCCGGCUAAACUUCGUGCCAGCAGCCGCGGUAAUACGAAGGGGGCUAGCGUUGUUCGGAAUUACUGGGCGUAAAGCGCGCGUAGGCUGACUGGUCAGUCAGGGGUGAAAGCCCGGGGCUUUAACCUCGGAACUGCCUUUGAUACUGCCAGUCUAGAGUCCGGCAGAGGUGAGUGGAAUUCCUAGUGUAGAGGUGAAAUUCGUAGAUAUUAGGAAAGAACACCAGUGGCGAAGGCGGCUCACUGGGCCGA
Molecule: ribosomal RNA, 665 nt
Filed under: uncultured organism
Description: bacterial SSU rRNA
Rfam family: Bacterial small subunit ribosomal RNA
Source: RNAcentral